GAUGAAGAACGUAGCGAAAUGCGAUAAGUAAUGUGAAUUGCAGAAUUCAGUGAAUCAUCGAAUCUUUGAACGCACAUUGCGCCCGCCAGUAUUCUGGCGGGCAUGCCUGUCCGAGCGUCAUUUCAACCCUCAAGCCCCCGGGCUUGGUGUUGGAGAUCGGUGAGCCCCCCGGGGCGCGCCGUCUCCCAAAUAUAGUGGCGGUCCCGCUGUAGCUUCCUCUGCGUAGUAGCACACCUCGCACUGGGAAACAGCGUGGCCACGCCGUAAAACCCCCCACUUCUGAAAGGUUGACCUCGGAUCAGGUAGGAAUACCCGCUGAACUUAAGCAUAUCAAUAAGCGGAGGA
This 345-nucleotide unclassified non-coding RNA is filed under the name soil metagenome. Its description in RNAcentral is "partial contains 5.8S ribosomal RNA, internal transcribed spacer 2, and large subunit ribosomal RNA". The stretch from base 1 to 120 matches the Rfam family "5.8S ribosomal RNA", at positions 35 to 154 of the family's 154-position model. The record is from RNAcentral.